GGGUUGUGGCUCAGUGGUAGAGCGCAUGCCUGGCAAAUGCGAGGCCCUGGGUUCAAUCCUCAGCCCCA
This 68-nucleotide transfer RNA is filed under the name Marmota monax (woodchuck). RNAcentral describes it as "tRNA.Ala". The record is from RNAcentral. Lineage: Eukaryota; Metazoa; Chordata; Mammalia; Rodentia; Sciuridae.